Molecule: ribosomal RNA, 357 nt
Filed under: uncultured bacterium
Lineage: Bacteria
Description: bacterial SSU rRNA
Rfam family: Bacterial small subunit ribosomal RNA
Source: RNAcentral
AAUCAACGCUGGCGGCGUGCCUCAGACAUGCAAGUCGAACGCGAAAGUCCCCUUCGGGGGACAAGUAGAGUGGCGCACGGGUGAGUAACACGUAGGUAAUCUACCUUCGGGCGGGGAAUAACAACCGGAAACGGUUGCUAAUACCGCAUAAUGCAGCGGCACCUAAUGGUGACAGUUGUUAAAGCGGGGGAGUCGCAAGACCUCGCACCUGAAGAGGAGCCUGCGGCGGAUUAGCUAGUGGUAGGGUAACAGCCUACCAAGGCAACGAUCCGUAGCCGGCCUGAGAGGGCGGUCGGCCACACUGACACUGACAUACGGGUCAGACUCCUACGGGAGGCAGCAGUCGGGAAUUUUGGG